This 504-nucleotide ribosomal RNA is filed under the name uncultured bacterium. Its description in RNAcentral is "partial 16S ribosomal RNA". It matches the Rfam family "Bacterial small subunit ribosomal RNA", at positions 29 to 523 of the family's 1533-position model. The record is from RNAcentral.
AUUGAACGCUGGCGGCAGGCCUAACACAUGCAAGUCGAACGGUAGCACAGAGAGCUUGCUCUCGGGUGACGAGUGGCGGACGGGUGAGUAACGUCUGGGAAACUGCCCGAUGGAGGGGGAUAACUACUGGAAACGGUAGCUAAUACCGCAUAACGUCGCAAGACCGAAGUGGGGGACCUCCGGGCCUCACACCAUCGGAUGUGCCCAGCUGGGAUUAGCUAGUAGGUGGGGUAAUGGCUCACCUAGGCGACGAUCCCUAGCUGGUCUGAGAGGAGGACCAGCCACACUGGAACUGAGACACGGUCCAGACUCCUACGGGAGGCAGCAGUGGGGAAUAUUGCACAAUGGGCGCAAGCCUGAUGCAGCCAUGCCGCGUGUAUGAAGAAGGCCUUCGGGUUGUAAAGUACUUUCAGCGGGGAGGAAGGCGGUGAAGUUAAUAGCUUCACCGAUUGACGUUACCCGCAGAAGAAGCACCGGCUAACUCCGUGCCAGCCGCCGCGGUAA